GGGAAUUAGACGGGGCCCGCACAAGCGGUGAGCAUUGUGGUUUAAUUCGAAGCAACGCGAAGAACCUUACCAGGCCUUGACAUGCAGAGAACUUUCCAGAGAUUGGAUUGGUGCCUUCGGGAACUCUGACACAGGUGCUGCAUGGCUGUCGUCAGCUCGUGUCGUGAGAUGUUGGGUUAAGUCCCGUAACGAGCGCAACCCUUGUCCUUAGUUGCCAGCAGUUCGGCUGGGCACUCUAAAGGGACUGCCGGUGUUAAACCGGAGGAAGGUGGGGAUGACGUCAAGUCCUCAUGGCCUUUAUGACCAGGGCUACACACGUACUACAAUGGCCGAUACAAAGGGCAGCGACACUGCGAGGUGAAGCCAAUCCCGUAAAAUCGGUCUCAGUCCGGAUUGGAGUCUGCAACUCGACUCCAUGAAGUUGGAAUCGCUAGUAAUCGUGGAUCAGCAUGCCACGGUGAAUACGUUCCCGGGCCUU
RNAcentral lists this ribosomal RNA (478 nucleotides) under uncultured Desulfobulbus sp. RNAcentral describes it as "bacterial SSU rRNA". It matches the Rfam family "Bacterial small subunit ribosomal RNA", at positions 906 to 1382 of the family's 1533-position model. The record is from RNAcentral. Lineage: Bacteria; Pseudomonadati; Thermodesulfobacteriota; Desulfobulbia; Desulfobulbales; Desulfobulbaceae.